RNAcentral lists this ribosomal RNA (465 nucleotides) under uncultured bacterium. RNAcentral describes it as "partial 16S ribosomal RNA". It matches the Rfam family "Bacterial small subunit ribosomal RNA", at positions 28 to 507 of the family's 1533-position model. The record is from RNAcentral.
GAUGAACGCUGGCGGCGUGCUUAACACAUGCAGUCGAACGAUGAAGCCCAGCUUGCUGGGUGGAUUAGUGGCGAACGGGUGAGUAACACGUGAGUAACCUGCCCUUAACUCUGGGAUAAGCCUGGGAAACUGGGUCUAAUACCGGAUAGGAGCGUCCACCGCAUGGUGGGUGUUGGAAAGAUUUAUCGGUUUUGGAUGGACUCGCGGCCUAUCAGCUUGUUGGUGAGGUAAUGGCUCACCAAGGCGACGACGGGUAGCCGGCCUGAGAGGGUGACCGGCCACACUGGGACUGAGACACGGCCCAGACUCCUACGGGAGGCAGCAGUGGGGAAUAUUGCACAAUGGGCGCAAGCCUGAUGCAGCGACGCCGCGUGAGGGAUGACGGCCUUCGGGUUGUAAACCUCUUUCAGUAGGGAAGAAGCGAAAGUGACGGUACCUGCAGAAGAAGCACCGGCUAACUACGUG